UACGAAGGGGGCUAGCGUUGCUCGGAAUCACUGGGCGUAAAGGGCGCGCAGGCGGCCGAUUAAGUCGGGGGUGAAAGCCUGUGGCUCAACCACAGAAUUGCCUUCGAUACUGGUUGGCUUGAGACCGGAAGAGGACAGCGGAACUGCGAGUGUAGAGGUGAAAUUCGUAGAUAUUCGCAAGAACACCAGUGGCGAAGGCGGCUGUCUGGUCCGGUUCUGACGCUGAGGCGCGAAAGCGUGGGGAGCAAACAGG
Molecule: ribosomal RNA, 253 nt
Filed under: uncultured bacterium
Lineage: Bacteria
Description: partial 16S ribosomal RNA
Rfam family: Bacterial small subunit ribosomal RNA
Source: RNAcentral